GCCAUACCUGCUUGCCAAUGUUCGACCUCAUCAGAUCUCAGAACGCUAAGGAAGGGCCGGCGUGGUUAGUACUUAGAUGAGAGACCGCAGUGAAUACCAGGUGC
RNAcentral lists this ribosomal RNA (104 nucleotides) under Periophthalmus magnuspinnatus. The record is from RNAcentral. Lineage: Eukaryota; Metazoa; Chordata; Actinopteri; Gobiiformes; Gobiidae.